This is a small nucleolar RNA of Exaiptasia diaphana, 103 nucleotides long. RefSeq annotates it as small nucleolar RNA SNORD16. Lineage: Eukaryota; Metazoa; Cnidaria; Anthozoa; Actiniaria; Aiptasiidae. The record is from RefSeq and is a predicted model, not a curated record. The transcript has a single exon.
GGAAAUGAUGAUGUAAUUUGCGUCAUAGGGUGUGGUCAGUGACGGUUGCCUGCCGUCAUAUACUGCUACAUAUCUGUGAAGACAGCAUACUCAUUACUGAUCC